UGUCUCCCUGGUGGGCUUUUU
This 21-nucleotide microRNA is filed under the name Gallus gallus (chicken). RNAcentral describes it as "gga-miR-6581-3p". The record is from miRBase by way of RNAcentral. Lineage: Eukaryota; Metazoa; Chordata; Aves; Galliformes; Phasianidae.